Molecule: non-coding RNA, 2136 nt
Organism: Phoenix dactylifera (date palm)
Lineage: Eukaryota; Viridiplantae; Streptophyta; Magnoliopsida; Arecales; Arecaceae
Source: RefSeq, a predicted model, not a curated record
AUGAAUCUUUAGAUAUAAUUAUACAAAAGUAGAUUAAAGGAGGUGGGGCUGUUGAGAUGAACAAAAACGAAACUAGUUUACAUGAGGAUUCAUUCAAUGAUUUGGGAAAAGGAUAUUUAGGGUGAAAGAGAAUAGUUUUAUACAAUUUGGAUUUUUAGGUCAGGUUGAAUUAUGUCGAAUCAGGUUAAGUGGAAAAAUAAAAAAUAAGAGCCAACAUGGUUUUAUAUUAGGUCUCUUUUCUGACCCCGACCUAACCCAUAGAUCUUCAAAUCGGUUGAGUUCUUUCCAUUUGAAGCCCUAUGUGCGUGGAAGAGAACCUUGCACCCUAGACACUCAAUUGCAUCUUAUCCCAUUAGCCUGUUCAACAACUAUUCAGUACCAGCAUAAGUACUCAGAUCUUAACGUACUCAAAUUGGCGGACCAUGAGGUGCCAGCACUAGCACGCUGUUAUGAGGGCCAUUAUGAGCCGGUGAGCCCUUUUUAGCUUAAGCCUUUUUUUUUUUUUUUUGCUUAAUAGGCCUCUCCUAUAGUUACCUGGAGCAGACCUAUUGAGGUCCUAUGCUACUAAGUUUGGUCAAGCUUCCCACGCAAUCGUGCUCCUAAGAGGAGGAUCGAACCAACUUGGAUUUGUUGUACCUCGGCGAAAAUCUCACAAUAGAUGUGCCCAAAGAGGGCUAUAUCUCAGCUGACUGGUGCACCGUAUACGUUGUGGAUCUUUACACGCACAUGCUGGGAGGCCAUUAUGAGGCACAACAGGCCAUCAUUUAUUGUGAGAGCCAUUGAGGCCUUUGUGAGCCUCUCAUUCACCAAUGACCAGCUGUUCCUUUUUCUUUUGGGAAAUUACGGAUUACCCAAGGCACAAUUUCACCAAGCCACAUGGGGUUCAAAGGUAGUACUUAAUCUACCAGAGGUCAGAUUCGUCAGCUUCCAUCGUGCUCCAUUACACAUCCUCUUCAACCAUCCAUCAUAGGUACAUACAGGUCUUUUUAUAUUUCCUCUCUUUUCCAUCCAACAACUCCUCUCUCCUCUCUCCUCUCUCCUCUCUCCUCUUAUAAACUCUCUCCUCCCUCCCUUCAACAACGCAUCCAUUCAGCCUUAUCCCAUCUAGCGAGUGGAAAAGGAUCGCCUCACCAUUUCCCAUUCUUCACUAAAUAGAGAAAGAAAUAAACAAAAGGAUAUUAUGCAUGUGGGAGAGUUUGCAAUGGCUACUUCGAGUGGCAUAGAGUACUUCAAGAUCGAUGUGGAGGCGGCCAUGGGGCACUUCUCAUGGCUCUCCAACGGGGCACUUCUCAUGGCUCUCCAAUGCAAACAUCGUGGAGGACAAAGGAAGCUCCUAUAUAUGGGCCACCAUUGAUGUGGAAAUUUCUUUUACACAUUUUUUUAGUCUUAAUUGUUUUGUUUUUGAGUGUUUUGUAUGUUCUUAGCUCAUUUGUCUAGAAUUUAGGUGUCUUUUACAUUUAUUUAAUUCUUGAAAAUUCUUGGUAUUUUGCAGGUGUUUAAUUAUUGAAUUCGGUUGAAAUUGGGCUGGUCUAGUCAACUCAGAACACUGUUCGGUUUUUAGAUUCUAACUGGAGCUACAGACCUCCUUUUUAUAUAUUGUUUAUCUUACUGCAAAGAUAAGAUGUAGACCUAAAACUUUUAUGAUCACAAAACCAAGUUCUACCGUUUUGAAGUCCAAAACAUGACCGAAAUGGAGAAGUCCAAAUCUGUCCAGAAUUUUACUGCGGCCCAAACCCUAUUUCGGUUUUUAGCUUGUAUGUGGAGUUAUAUAAGUCAGAAUAAUGUAAACCUAGGUGCAUUGGAAAGAUGAGAACGAGAUCUAAAAUUUUCGUGAAGGGUCCAACUCCAAAGUAUAUCAUUUUGGUGCUCUACAUCCAGCUGGGAGUUGCAUCUAAAAAUCAGCCUAGAAUUCCGGAUUUCAGCUAGCAGAUAGGAAGGAAAUCUGUUUUAAAAUUCAAAAAAAGAAAUUCCGAUAAGAGGAGGGGGCCAGCAGAUACGAAGAGGAGGACAAGCAGAUAAAAAAAAUGCAGAAAAUCUGAAAUUCUGAGAGGAGGAAAAGCUAGAAAAUCCGAGAGGAAGAAAAAACUGAAAUUAUGGGAGAAAGAACGGAACAGAGAAUUUUUGCAAAUACAGAGU